This is a long non-coding RNA of Melanaphis sacchari, 177 nucleotides long. RefSeq lists it as uncharacterized. NCBI's taxonomy places the organism in Eukaryota, Metazoa, Arthropoda, Insecta, Hemiptera, Aphididae. The transcript is spliced from 4 exons. The record is from RefSeq and is a predicted model, not a curated record.
AAAAGUUGUAAUUAUCUAAUUUGAAAUAUCUUUGUAAUUAUCUAAACAAAAGGCUAUGAUUUCAUAUAAAGUUUUAAUAAUAUUAACUUUUACAAUUAAUAUAAGCCACUGUAAUUAUUCUAAAGAGCAAAUCCAAAAAGAAUGCGAUAUAUGCUAUGACAAUUUAAAAUUAGUUGG